This is a long non-coding RNA of Sceloporus undulatus (fence lizard), 681 nucleotides long. RefSeq lists it as uncharacterized. Lineage: Eukaryota; Metazoa; Chordata; Lepidosauria; Squamata; Phrynosomatidae. The record is from RefSeq and is a predicted model, not a curated record. The transcript is spliced from 3 exons.
GUAGGUGGCUAAGUAUAUGUGUUCUCAACCUUUGCCUUUUAUGGCUAAUCAAAUUUACUUGAAGAGGAUUUAAUGGAUGGGCCCAAGAGAUCUUCAAUGCUUUGAUGGAAGUGGGAGUUGUCCUAGUUGCUCUGAAGGAAAUUGUAUGGCCACUCCUCCAGAAACUGUCUCUGUCUCUGGAUUAUUACGCAAACGAUUACCUGCUUACCAUUGUCUCCUUUUCAGGCUAAGUAUUUCUACAUUUUGGUUUUCUUGUGGAUGAGGAAAUGAUCUGGAUCUACAAAUUCCAAACCUAGCUUUGGAACUGAAACAACUUGGGUCACUGUAGUGGGCAACCUCUGUUGUGAAAAGAAAAGAAGCACCUUUCUUGAUGUCUCAGUGGCUUUUGACUCCACCAACCAUGGUUGCCUUCUGGACUGUGCUUUGAGAGUGGGAGAUACAGUGGUUUUGAUCUUAACUAUAGGAUGCUAUUACAAUGUGAAAGUUUCUCUCUUCACCUACCACUUCUCCCCUUGUUCUCCACUUAUUUCAGUUAAACUGAGUUCAAAGUGGAAAAACAGUUCACACUUAAUUCAUCUAAGGGGAAAGGCAAGGAGGAGGCAGAGUCUUCCUAUUCCCUGGAAGCUCAGGUGUGCCUCCAACAUUUCACAGAUGAAAACUAGGACACAUGUGGCCAAGGAA